Molecule: RNA transcript, 1796 nt
Organism: Carassius gibelio (silver crucian carp)
Lineage: Eukaryota; Metazoa; Chordata; Actinopteri; Cypriniformes; Cyprinidae
Exons: 5
Source: RefSeq, a predicted model, not a curated record
GUUCUCUUUCAUUUUAUUACUGUUUAAUACUUGGUAAAAUUACACCUCCGAUGAUUAUGUAUUAUUUAGAGAGUAAGUGUAAUGCAGAGAUGUACUUAAUGAAUAUUUUUUUUUUUUUUUUUUGGCAGACGUCAGAUGAGGCGACGUACUUAUCACACGUCAGUUGAGGCGACGUGCUUAUCACGCGUCAGUUGAGGAGGCGUGCUUAUCACGCGUCAGUUGAGGCGGCUACCCUUCUCUCACGUAAAAGAACACGACUUUCGACUUCGGCAGAUGUGGAUGAGGAGGUUGAUGUUUAUGGGUUUAUACCACUGGCAUUGUCCCAUGACCACUGUGAUGGACUACUGGACGUAAUAGACACACAACUGAGUCAUCUACAGAUCCACAGCCAAAGCCGGAUGCAUGGAGCAAAUGCCAAGAGAUAUGAAUUUCCUUUCUUGGGCUAUUUUGAUCGGAGUCAGUUCUAGUAAAGACACAGGCUUGGGGAGCACUGUUCCAACCAAUGAUAAAACACCAUCCAACCUUGACAAGUGGCAGCAGAGCACUGCAGAAGAUUGCUCCAGCCCAGGUCAGCUAUAGGACAGAAGAUCACUUACCAGCAAAGACCAUCUCCAGUUAACAUCCCUCCUAAAUUGUUGAUUUUAUAGGAAAAUAAUUAUUAAAGGGAUAAUUCACCCAAAAAAUUGUCAUUAAUUACUCGUCUCAUGUUAUUCCAAACUCAUAAAACCUUUGUUCAUCUUUAGAACACAAACUAAGAUAUUUUUGAUGAAAUCCGAGAGCUUUCUGACCCUUCAUAGAAAGCAAGGGUACUACCAUGAUCAUUGCCCAGAAAGGUAGUAAGGUCAUUUUUCAAAUAGUCCAUGUGACAUCAGUGGUUCAACCGUAAUUUUAGGAAGCUACAAGAAUACUUUUUAUGCACAAGGAAAACAAUUCUCUUCCAUUUCAUGCUCUGCCGCACGAUCAUGAGAGUUACCACGAUGCAUGUAAGGUCUUACGGGUUUGGAACAUUAGGGUGAGUAAUUAAUGAUAGAAUUUUUAUUUUUGUGUGAACUAUCCCUUUCAUACUACCUCUGCGAAGCUCAGAAGCAGUGAACUUUGAUACAAAAUUAAUUAUUCUUGAUCUUAGAAUUGUGAUUGAGUUUACUGUGAAAUAAUGAACAGAUGUAGUGUGUAGCUAACAGUAUUUACAAAUGGUAAUUUAACUGUUAAUUGUUUUCUUAUGUGUUUUUUUUUUACGAAUUAUUAUUGUAAUUGGACAACAUAACUCAAAGCAGACAAUUCAUGAUUUUGAAUGAAUGUUUUUUUCUGCAUAAAGAAAAACAAGCAGAGAAGUAUAAUUCCAAACUGAUUUUAUUUAAAAACAAAUCUGUCAGUGUGGGAUAUAGUCAAUAUUUAAAAAAUGUUAUAUUUUGACAUUUGGCAAAAUGUAUAAAUUGCAAAAAGGUCAAACAAAAUGUUUAAACAAUCAUUCUAGGCCAAUGUUUAAACCACAGGCAAAAUGGAUUUGCAGCUUAUUUUACUGUUGUUUAAUAAUUGCAGCCAGUUCUUCAGCUGAAAAACAGAACCAGGUUAUAUGAACAACUGAAAUCAAUAGGUUUUAAUUUGUAUACCCAUGCAUCUCCAACAACAAUCAUAUUUCUGUUGUGUAGAUAGUUAAACCGUUUAUAAAGAUUAAUGAUGCUGUCUCUGUCUGUCCUCUGUACUCUGUCAAGUACACAUUAAUUUAAUCAAAGCCAUCAAUCGUCACUUUCCAGAAUCUAAGGAAUCUAAAAAAAUAAAUAAAAAAAAAAUAAAAA